RNAcentral lists this unclassified non-coding RNA (153 nucleotides) under uncultured fungus. Its description in RNAcentral is "sequence contains ITS1, 5.8S rRNA gene". Lineage: Eukaryota; Fungi. The record is from RNAcentral.
CUGAGUUUACAACUCCCAACCCAUGUGAACAUACCUUUUGUUGCUUCGGCGGGAUGCCCCCGGCGCCUAGUGUGCCCGGGAACCAGGCCCCCGCCGGAGGACCCAAACUCUUGUUUUUAUAUAGAACUUCUGAGUGGAUUAUUUUAAUAAUUA